CUGUGUGGAAGCUGGGAUUCCAAUGGCAGGCAGGAAAUCUUGUAGUAGCAUCUGUGAGCGUAAAUUUUUGUGGCCAUGGGAUGGACAAGAACCACAUGUUUACCUGAAGUCCUGUGACAUUUUGGUGUGCAGCAUGGGAGCUCCAAAAGUGAUGCCAGAGGAUGCUAUAGAAAAAUGCGUGCCCUCUUGUAAUACUUUGUUCAAGUUCUGAUCAGAAGGAUGAAUGAUGGAGCCCAAGAAGCCAGAGUCUCAUUGUGUUGCUCAGGCUGGAAUCCAGUGGCAUGAUCUCGGCUCAGUGCAACCUCCGCCUCCUGGGUUCAAGCAGUUCUCCUAGAUCAGCAUCAGCGUCCCGAGUAGCUGGGAUUACAGGCACCCGCCACCAUGCCUGGCUAAUGUUGGUCAGGCUGGCUCGAACUCCUGACCUCAAGAGAUCCACCUGCUUUGGCCUCCCAAAGUGCUCGGAUUACAGGCAUGAGCUGCCACACCCAGCCUCCAAAUACUUUUUUUUUAAAUCAAAAUAAUGAUUUCAAUGACUGAGAUCUGUUAUGUAUUUCAACAUAAUCAUGUUUCAUAAAGAUUUAGUCUUCUGAAA
RNAcentral lists this long non-coding RNA (592 nucleotides) under Homo sapiens (human). RNAcentral describes it as "novel transcript". Lineage: Eukaryota; Metazoa; Chordata; Mammalia; Primates; Hominidae. The record is from RNAcentral.